This 1977-nucleotide long non-coding RNA is filed under the name Mustela putorius furo (domestic ferret). Its description in RNAcentral is "lncRNA (ENSMPUG00000030592.1)". Lineage: Eukaryota; Metazoa; Chordata; Mammalia; Carnivora; Mustelidae. The record is from RNAcentral.
GGAGACAUCAAUGACCCAUCAGCCCAGCCCUGAGGAAAGGGAAGGCUCUGGUUCUUUGCAGUUGCCACACCUAGUGCUGGGCACGGACCAGGUGGGCUUUGGGACACCCUGUGCCUUCUUCCCUUCAGCCCGGCAGGAACAUUUAGGCCAUCCCUGCCAGGGAUCUGUUGGAGGCCUGCUUCAUGCAACAUACUUCACUGGGUACUGUCAGGAGGGUGAGGAAGCACAAGAUUUGAGCUUGAAAGCUGCUUGGAGAGUGAAUACAUGUAUAUUUGAAAACAACAACAACAACAACAAAACCCGACAGUCCCACCUCAAAGCAACGCCCAGUGCAGAGAGGAUGAAUCAUACGGACGAGAUGCUGCAGAUGUCUGCAGGAUGGGGAGCAAUUAUACAAGCAGCUGCAACUGCAGACCUCUUGCCCGUCCUUCACUCGCCUGUGUGGAGCUGAACUAGCCGCCCUUCCGCUGAGAGCAGGUGGUGCUCGUGCACGACUCGUGAUUCCCUUGAUGCGUCACAUCACUUGUCACUGACUCAGCGUGUCCAAGUGCCUCCCGUAAGCUUGCUUGGAGCACGCCUGAAACACGCUUGUGAUUGGAAUCCAGUCCUGCUGAGUCUAAGUAGGAGGGAGGACGAAGGUACAGGGCGCUGAGCCCGCACAGGGAGACUGAAGCAGCCGAAGAUUGCUGCAAACAGAUCCAGCAAGAAGGGAGUGCAGCUCUGUAAAACAGGCACACGUAAGGGCAGUUACGCAUCAGCUUCAGGUGCGCCCUUUAAACAGCUGUAAGUCUUCCUAACCUCGCCAAUGGGGGGGGGCGAGAAUCAGGCGGGGAGGCAGGCCGUAUGUGCUAUGUACACAGUGCAUUGAAAUUGAGUGUCGUGGGCGCCUGGGUGGCUCAGUGGGUUAAGCCGCUGCCUUCGGCUCGGGUCAUGGUCUCAGGGUCCUGGGAUCGAGUCCCGCAUCGGGCUCUCCGCUCAGCGGGGAGCCUGCUUCCUCCUCUCUCUCUCUCUGCCUGCCUCUCUGCCUACUUGUGAUCUCUCUCUGUCAAAUAAAUAAAUAAAAUCUUUAAAAAAAAAAAAAAAAGAAAUUGAGUGUCGUGCGCACAGGACCCCAUUCCUUUCCAUUCUGCCUGAUAUGCUCCUUCAGGGUAAAGGUAUAAAACACAUUUAAGGUUCUUUACCUCCUUCCCUGCAAUAGUAAUUGGCAGUUACUCAAUCCCCGUGGGCAUCAUAAAUAAGGAGCACACCAAGAGACUUGGUUGCUGCCGUUAGAACACACUGGCUUUAGCUGGAUUGAACUAGAGUCAAUAGUCGUGUGACGAAUGUAACGGUGUGCCAGUGGUAAAAUCGCCCCCACUCAGUGCUCUAAUUUUGUCACAAAGGCUGGAUUUUCUCCUGGCUAAGCAAAUGGAGUUUGUGUAUUGACAUGUUUGCACUCAAAGGAGUGAGUCACAAGAUAGGUUGUCUAUGUCAGGGCACCCUGAAUAGGUGCUACACUUAAUUCUGGAGUCUCAUUAGUAAUGGCAAUAGAGACUGUGAUGUAUUGCCUCCUAUGUGGUAAAUAGAAGAAGCAGACCGGCCUGUGAGUGUUUGCUGCUCUCUUGAUAAGGAAUGGAAUUUAUACUGACAGUACGUGGUUACUUGGGUUUCAUUCUAUUGUGGCAAAAAGCACAUGACAUAAAAUUUACCAUCUUAACCACUGAUAAGUGUGCAGUAGUGUAACUAUGUGCACAUUGUGAAAAUGAUCUCCAGAACUUUUCCAUCUUGCAAAACUGAAGCUCUGUCCCAUGAAACACUCACUUUCCAUCCCCUCCCCGACCCCUGGCACCCUCUCUUCUUACUCUCUGUCUCUGUGAAUUAGUAACUCCAGGGACCUCAUGUGAGUGGAAUCACAGAGUAUCUGUCCUUCUGUGUCUGGCUUAUGUCAAUGAGCAUGUGUAACAGGUGUCAGUGUUUCCUUCCUUUUUAAGACUGAAU